UUGAAAGGGAAACGAUUGAAGUCAGUCGUACCGACGGAGAAUCAACCUUUGGAGUGCGAGUCGAGGUAUUCGAGGAGUUUAAAAGCCCUUGUGUGUUUCCGUAUCGUGCUUCUUGGGUGCUUUUCUUCGUAUGGUAGGUUAACAUCAAUUUUGGACGUUACAAAAUGACUGGGGGAAUGUAGCUUCGAUUUUUCGAAGUGUUAUAGCCCUUGGUAGAUGUGACGACCGGGAUUGAGGAUUGCAACGAAUGCUUUCGGGCUAUCCGUCUGACCUCUGGUGGUUGCUUUGGGGUCGAAAGCGUGCUUACGGCUUUAAAGUUGGCUAUCAAAAGGCUAGAACGUGAUUAAAUUCGUUAAGGAUGUUGACGUA
RNAcentral lists this ribosomal RNA (369 nucleotides) under uncultured Glomeromycotina. RNAcentral describes it as "LSU rRNA". The record is from RNAcentral. Lineage: Eukaryota; Fungi; Glomeromycota.